CCCUUAGAUGUCCUGGGCCGCACGCGCGUUACACUGAUACAUUCAACGAGCUUAUAACCUUGGCCGAGAGGCCUGGGCAAUCUUGUUAACGUGCAUCGUGAUAGGGAUAGAUUAUUGAAAUUAUUAAUCUUGAACGAGGAAUUCCUAGUAAACGCAGAUCAUCAAUCUGCAUUGAUUACGUCCCUGCCCUUUGUAUACACCGCCCGUCGCACCUACCGAUUGGAUGGUCCGGUGAAGCCUCGGGAUUGUGGUUCUUGCCGCUUUAUUGUGGCGUGACCGCGAGAACUUGUCUAAACCUUAUCAUCUAGAGGAAGGUGAAGUCGUAACA
This 328-nucleotide ribosomal RNA is filed under the name uncultured eukaryote. RNAcentral describes it as "partial 18S ribosomal RNA". It matches the Rfam family "Eukaryotic small subunit ribosomal RNA", at positions 1470 to 1796 of the family's 1831-position model. The record is from RNAcentral.